GUGCUGAAAGCAUCUAAGCACGAAACUUGCCCCGAGAUGAGUUCUCCCUGAGACUUUAAGUCUCCUGAAGGAACGUUAAAGACGAUGACGUUGAUAGGCCGGGUGUGUAAGCGCAGCGAUGCGUUGAGCUAACCGGUACUAAUGAACCGUCCGGCCAGCGUGC
Molecule: ribosomal RNA, 163 nt
Filed under: Klebsiella pneumoniae
Lineage: Bacteria; Pseudomonadati; Pseudomonadota; Gammaproteobacteria; Enterobacterales; Enterobacteriaceae
Description: partial 23S ribosomal RNA
Rfam family: Bacterial large subunit ribosomal RNA
Source: RNAcentral